Molecule: ribosomal RNA, 247 nt
Filed under: uncultured bacterium
Lineage: Bacteria
Description: partial 16S ribosomal RNA
Rfam family: Bacterial small subunit ribosomal RNA
Source: RNAcentral
UACGUAGGGUGCAAGCGUUAAUCGGAAUUACUGGGCGUAAAGCGUGCGCAGGCGGUUUUGUAAGUCAGAUGUGAAAUCCCCGGGCUUAACCUGGGAACUGCAUUUGUGACUGCAUCGCUGGAGUGCGGCAGAGGGGGAUGGAAUUCCGCGUGUAGCAGUGAAAUGCGUAGAUAUGCGGAGGAACACCGAUGGCGAAGGCAAUCCCCCUGGGCCUGCACUGACGCUCAUGCACGAAAGCGUGGGGAGC